Molecule: transfer RNA, 74 nt
Filed under: Bacillota bacterium
Lineage: Bacteria; Bacillati; Bacillota
Description: tRNA-Gly
Rfam family: tRNA
About the family: Transfer RNA (tRNA) molecules are approximately 80 nucleotides in length. Their secondary structure includes four short double-helical elements and three loops (D, anti-codon, and T loops).
Source: RNAcentral
GCGGGUGUAGUUUAGUGGUAGAACAUCAGCUUCCCAAGCUGAGAGUGUGGGUCCGAUUCCCAUCACCCGCUCCA